This 468-nucleotide ribosomal RNA is filed under the name uncultured bacterium. Its description in RNAcentral is "partial 16S ribosomal RNA". It matches the Rfam family "Bacterial small subunit ribosomal RNA", at positions 28 to 507 of the family's 1533-position model. The record is from RNAcentral.
GACGAACGCUGGCGGCGUGCUUAACACAUGCAAGUCGAACGGAAAGGCCCUGCUUUUGUGGGGUGCUCGAGUGGCGAACGGGUGAGUAACACGUGAGUAACCUGCCCUUGACUUUGGGAUAACUUCAGGAAACUGGGGCUAAUACCGGAUAGGAGCUCCUGCUGCAUGGUGGGGGUUGGAAAGUUUCGGCGGUUGGGGAUGGACUCGCGGCUUAUCAGCUUGUUGGUGGGGUAGUGGCUUACCAAGGCUUUGACGGGUAGCCGGCCUGAGAGGGUGACCGGCCACAUUGGGACUGAGAUACGGCCCAGACUCCUACGGGAAGCAGCAGUGGGAAAUAUUGCACAAUGGGCGGAAGCCUGAUGCAGCAACGCCGCGUGCGGGAUGACGGCCUUCGAGUUGUAAACCGCUUUCGCCUGUGACGAAGCGUGAGUGACGGUAAUGGGUAAAGAAGCACCGGCUAACUACGUG